RNAcentral lists this ribosomal RNA (251 nucleotides) under uncultured bacterium. RNAcentral describes it as "partial 16S ribosomal RNA". It matches the Rfam family "Bacterial small subunit ribosomal RNA", at positions 524 to 776 of the family's 1533-position model. The record is from RNAcentral.
UACGUAGGGGCAAGCGUUGUCCGGAUUUAUUGGGCGUAAAGAGCGUGUAGGCGGCCAGACAGGUCCGUUGUGAAACUAGAGGCUUAACCUCUAGACGUCGAUGGAAACCGUCUGGCUAGAGUCCGGAAGAGGAGAAUGGAAUUCCUGGUGUAGCGGUGAAAUGCGCAGAUAUCAGGAAGAACACCCGUGGCUAAGGCGGUUCUCUAGUACGGUACUGACGCUGAGACGCGAAAGCGUGGGGAGCGAACAGG